This 210-nucleotide unclassified non-coding RNA is filed under the name Hevea brasiliensis (rubber tree). Lineage: Eukaryota; Viridiplantae; Streptophyta; Magnoliopsida; Malpighiales; Euphorbiaceae. The record is from RNAcentral.
UGCACGCCGAGGUCCUGACCGACAAGGCGUACAAGUACCGCGUUGUCAUCUCUGGACGGAACCUCGGCGUGCAACCCUCGUACCCGGUCGAGAGCGACGGCUCGCAGAAGGUUAACUUCCUCGAGUACAAUGCCGGCUACGGCAUUGCGGACACGAACACGAUCCAGGUGUUCGUCGUUGACCCUGAUACCAACGACGACUUCAUCGUCG